RNAcentral lists this long non-coding RNA (1555 nucleotides) under Nicotiana benthamiana. RNAcentral describes it as "long non-coding RNA (NBEN_LNC009027)". The stretch from base 788 to 922 matches the Rfam family "Small nucleolar RNA snoR136". Lineage: Eukaryota; Viridiplantae; Streptophyta; Magnoliopsida; Solanales; Solanaceae. The record is from RNAcentral.
AUGAAUCCUUCUCCUCCGUAGCCUAGGCGUUCUCCGCCGUAAGAGUAACCGCCGCCGCGGGCCAAUGGCACUCUCUUUAACUACGGUGAUACACUUGUUUUUUUGACUUGUUUAUUUAUAAUUUGAAAGCUUCUUUAUCUGGUUGGCAAGAAAUUAUCCAUUUUUGACCAACUCGUUCCCUAGAAGCUAUAGUGUGUGUGUUGCUCCUUUUUAUAUUUCUCCUUCAUUAACCCCUUUUUUCUUAAUUUGUGUUUGGAGUUCACUGGGGCAGCUACAAUUAUUUUUUAAACAGUUUUUUUGAUAGGGGUGAACAACAGUGAUGAGCUAUUUAUACAGACACAGACCUGUAAUGAUUUGCGAAAAUGAUCGCAAUUUAUGAACAUCUAAGGGACUGAGUUUGUUCACCUCUUUCUAAUUUUAUCUCUUGAUUAUACUGCCGUUUAAGAUUAGAUAUAAUUUAAUUUUUUAAUAAAUGAGAAUUUGUGGAUUAACGAUGAUGAGCUAUUUAUACAGACACAGACCUGUAAUGAUUUGCGAAAAUGAUCGCAAUUUAUGAACAUCUAAGGGACUGAGUUUGUUCACCUCUUUCUAAUUUUAUCUCUUGAUUAUACUGCCGUUUAAGAUUAGAUAUAAUUUAAUUUUUUAAUAAAUGAGAAUUUGUGGAUUAACGAUGAUGAGCUAUUUAUACAGACACAGACCUGUAAUGAUUUGCGAAAAUGAUCGCAAUUUAUGAACAUCUAAGGGACUGAGUUUUUCCACUCAAUUCCAAAAAUUUGUGGCUUUUACUAUGCUUUGCUUAUCUAAUUAUUUAUUGGGCCACACAUUGUUGUGUGGUUCUUUAACAAGUGAAGCUAAAAAGAAUGUUCCUCUCGCUAUCCUUUGCUUCAUUUAUGGUGUAUUUGGACGUUGGGGUACUACAUUCUUUAUGUUUAUUAAUCUGUUUUGUUCCUAUUAUUUCACUGCAUAUUGAAUUGACUGUAGUUGUAUGUUUUGGCUCUUUAUGCUUCGCUAUCUGGUUGGCAAAAUUCAGUUGUUUUUGAUCUACUCGUUCCCUUGAAGCAACAGUGAUCGUGAUGCUCUGUAUUUAUAUCUCUCUCCAUGCUUCCUUUUGUAUUGCGGUUGGACAACACUGGGUCAUCUAUAUUUUAUAAUACAAUUGUAUUUGUAGAACACUGCAAUAUUUUGGUAUCAUCAUUUUCCCUGCAGGAAGAUAAUUCUGCUGUGUGGAAGGAAGGUAUAUAUAUGGGAUGUUGUAAAUGUUGCGAUUUUAUUUAAACUAUGCUUUGCUUGACUAUUUAUGUAUUGGGACGCACAUUGUUGUGCGAUACUUUUUCAAGUCAAGCUAGAGAGAAUGUUCCUCUAAUCUAAUGUCAGAUUAUAGUUUUAUCUUUUUUGGCUGUAAUGCUUCGCUAUCUGGUUGGCUUAAUUCACAACAAUUUGCUUAUAGAAAUAAAUUAGUAUUCCUUUCCUAUACAGAGAGACCUUUUUUUCAAGUUACACCAUAAAAGAAAUUUAUUAGCUUUCUUUUAUUUCAGAUCGAUGUAUGUCUAUUAAG